AUUGAACGCUGGCGGCAGGCCUAACACAUGCAAGUCGAGCGGAUGAAGGGAGCUUGCUCCUGGAUUCAGCGGCGGACGGGUGAGAAAUGCCUAGGAAUCUGCCUGGUAGUGGGGGAUAACGUCCGGAAACGGGCGCUAAUACCGCAUACGUCCUGAGGGAGAAAGUGGGGGAUCUUCGGACCUCACGCUAUCAGAUGAGCCUAGGUCGGAUUAGCUAGUUGGUGGGGUAAAGGCCUACCAAGGUGACGAUCCGUAACUGGUCUGAGAGGAUGAUCAGUCACACUGGAACUGAGACACGGUCCAGACUCCUACGGGAGGCAGCAGUGGGGAAUAUUGGACAAUGGGCGAAAGCCUGAUCCAGCCAUGCCGCGUGUGUGAAGAAGGUCUUCGGAUUGUAAAGCACUUUAAGUUGGGAGGAAGGGCAGUAAGUUAAUACCUUGCUGUUUUGACGUUACCAACAGAAUAAGCACCGGCUAACUUCGUG
RNAcentral lists this ribosomal RNA (484 nucleotides) under uncultured bacterium. RNAcentral describes it as "partial 16S ribosomal RNA". It matches the Rfam family "Bacterial small subunit ribosomal RNA", at positions 30 to 507 of the family's 1533-position model. The record is from RNAcentral.